Molecule: transfer RNA, 72 nt
Filed under: Bos grunniens (domestic yak)
Lineage: Eukaryota; Metazoa; Chordata; Mammalia; Artiodactyla; Bovidae
Also listed under: 1 other name
Rfam family: tRNA
About the family: Transfer RNA (tRNA) molecules are approximately 80 nucleotides in length. Their secondary structure includes four short double-helical elements and three loops (D, anti-codon, and T loops). Further hydrogen bonds mediate the characteristic L-shaped molecular structure. tRNAs have two regions of fundamental functional importance: the anti-codon, which is responsible for specific mRNA codon recognition, and the 3' end, to which the tRNAs corresponding amino acid is attached (by aminoacyl-tRNA synthetases). tRNAs cope with the degeneracy of the genetic code in two manners: having more than one tRNA (with a specific anti-codon) for a particular amino acid; and 'wobble' base-pairing, i.e. permitting non-standard base-pairing at the 3rd anti-codon position.
Source: Rfam by way of RNAcentral
UCCCUGGUGGCUCAGAGGGUAAAGCAUCUGCCUGCAAUGUGGGAGACCCGGGUUCAAUCCCUGGGUGGGGAA